GACAGCUCAAUUGGUAGAGCAUGAGGCUCUUAAUCUCAGGGUUGUGGAUUCGAGCCCCAAGUUAGGCA
Molecule: transfer RNA, 68 nt
Filed under: Podarcis lilfordi (Lilford's wall lizard)
Lineage: Eukaryota; Metazoa; Chordata; Lepidosauria; Squamata; Lacertidae
Description: tRNA.Lys
Source: RNAcentral